GGCAGGGAAGAUAUAAACAACAGGGUUGAGUUUUGAAUCAGAACCAACUCUCAAUAUGGAAUUGUUAUCAGAUAAUUACUAUUUGAUGAUACUUUCAAAGUUCUGAUGUAGAAACUGAUUCCUAUGUAUUAUUCAUGCCUAGAUAUCAAGCACUGUGCUUGUUACUAUUGAUUAAAGAUACUGAGAUAAGCUCAUCUAGUAGAAAGAGAAACUCACUAAUAAAUGAUAAUUUGGCAUGAUUGAUUUAUAUGAUUCCUGGGUAGGCAGCUGGUGUUUG
RNAcentral lists this long non-coding RNA (277 nucleotides) under Pan troglodytes (chimpanzee). RNAcentral describes it as "long non-coding RNA NONPTRT005150". Lineage: Eukaryota; Metazoa; Chordata; Mammalia; Primates; Hominidae. The record is from RNAcentral.